RNAcentral lists this ribosomal RNA (1268 nucleotides) under uncultured bacterium. RNAcentral describes it as "bacterial SSU rRNA". It matches the Rfam family "Bacterial small subunit ribosomal RNA", at positions 138 to 1390 of the family's 1533-position model. The record is from RNAcentral.
GGGGGAUAACACUUGGAAAACAGGUGCUAAUACCGUAUAACAAUCGGAAACCGGCACGGUUUCGGUUUGAAAGGCGCUUUUGCGUCACUGAUGGAUGGACCCGCGGUGCAUUAGCUAGUUGGUGAGGUAACGGCUCACCAAGGCAACGAUGCAUAGCCGACCUGAGGAGGGUGAUCGGCCACAUUGGGACUGAGACACGGCCCAAACUCCUACGGGAGGCAGCAGUAGGGAAUCUUCGGCAAUGGACGAAAGUCUGACCGAGCAACGCCGCGUGAGUGAAGAAGGUUUUCGGAUCGUAAAACUCUGUUGUUAGAGAAGAACAAGGAUGAGAGUAAAAUGUUCAUCCCUUGACGGUAUCUAACCAGAAAGCCACGGCUAACUACGUGCCAGCAGCCGCGGUAAUACGUAGGUGGCAAGCGUUGUCCGGAUUUAUUGGGCGUAAAGCGAGCGCAGGCGGUUUCUUAAGUCUGAUGUGAAAGCCCCCGGCUCAACCGGGGAGGGUCAUUGGAAACUGGGAAACUUGAGUGCAGAAGAGGAGAGUGGAAUUCCAUGUGUAGCGGUGAAAUGCGUAGAUAUAUGGAGGAACACCAGUGGCGAAGGCGGCUCUCUGGUCUGUAACUGACGCUGAGGCUCGAAAGCGUGGGGAGCAAACAGGAUUAGAUACCCUGGUAGUCCACGCCGUAAACGAUGAGUGCUAAGUGUUGGAGGGUUUCCGCCCUUCAGUGCUGCAGCUAACGCAUUAAGCACUCCGCCUGGGGAGUACGACCGCAAGGUUGAAACUCAAAGGAAUUGACGGGGGCCCGCACAAGCGGUGGAGCAUGUGGUUUAAUUCGAAGCAACGCGAAGAACCUUACCAGGUCUUGACAUCCUUUGACCACUCUAGAGAUAGAGCUUCCCCUUCGGGGGCAAAGUGACAGGUGGUGCAUGGUUGUCGUCAGCUCGUGUCGUGAGAUGUUGGGUUAAGUCCCGCAACGAGCGCAACCCUUAUUGUUAGUUGCCAUCAUUUAGUUGGGCACUCUAGCGAGACUGCCGGUGACAAACCGGAGGAAGGUGGGGAUGACGUCAAAUCAUCAUGCCCCUUAUGACCUGGGCUACACACGUGCUACAAUGGGAAGUACAACGAGUCGCGAAGUCGCGAGGCUAAGCUAAUCUCUUAAAGCUUCUCUCAGUUCGGAUUGUAGGCUGCAACUCGCCUACAUGAAGCCGGAAUCGCUAGUAAUCGCUGAUCAGCACGCCGCGGUGAAUACGUUCCCGGGCCUUGUACUCAC